CCAUCAGGACCGAUUAUGACAAGAGUGGGUAGGGUAGAAAGCUCAAAGUACCUAACCAAUUUCUCACAUUUUUUGUCUUUCAAUGGUAAUGAAAGCCACGGCAUGCUUCCAAAGGCUUGGUUGAAUGAUUCUUCAUCAUCAUCUAGAGGUAUCUGAACGAUCUCAAAUCUCUCUCCUUUGGCCUUCAGCUUCUCAUGAACAUCCAGUAAAAUUGGCGUGAAAUCAAUGCAUGAUUUGUAAAUGGACAAUGAAAAAUAUAGACCCACGGUUUUCCCUUCAAGCUCAGCAACAGGAACCUAGUUUGACCACAUGACUAGAUUAGUAAAAGAGGAUGGAAAACCGAAUCAUGAGCAAACGCGACCAUCAGUUUCAACUGCAUCAAAGAUCUUUUUAGCUUACCUUCUUCCCAUCAGAUGAAACUACGAAGUCACGAGACCCAUCGACCAAAAUAGAGGUCACUGAUUGGUUUCUCUUAGCAGCUUCUUCCUGGUCUUUCAAUUCUUUGAUGCGUUCUGCAGUGAAAGGGUGACCUUCCACUCCAUACUCGCGAACAAUCUCCACCCCACUAUCCGUCAAGACUGUACCAGUGCCAUCCAGAAACACAAGGUGGGGUAUUCCCCUCACCUCAAACAAUUCAUCCAAGCUAUCACGCUUCUCCGAGUCGGAGAACGGAAUUGCAAGCCACGGCAUCUUGGAAAAGUAUCCACUGAAGGACUCUUCAUCCUCAUCUGCAGAGAUGAAAAUGAUCUCCAGAUCACCUUUUGGGGAAAGUUCAUUGUACACCUCCGCCAGAGUCGGGGUGAACCGCUGGCACGGACCACACCACGACGCGGAGAAGUAUAAGCCGAUCUUCUUCCCCUUCAAGCUAUCAACUUUAACCUGAUACAGGACAAAAAGAUUCCUAAUUUGAGUUCUUUCAUAACGGUAAUCAGCAAGCAAGGCACACUAAUGUUAAUUGGCCACCUCACAAAAUCCUUAAAUGGCUCAUGAUACACCCAAAUAACCAGAGAAGCACUUCAGUUAAGCGCUCCUCAUUAAUUCAAUCGCAAUUUCGUAGUCUCGUCGACCAAAAUAACUAAACCACACUGAAGACGCAAGCAUUCAUACUAAAUCGAAUCCAUAUAUACUGCGUCCACGUGACUCUAUGUAUAAAUCUUUCUUCAAAAAAUCAUAAAUCAAUUACCAAUGAUCCAGUUUCUGAAGAAAACAAAUGGAUAGAAGUAAUCUUGAACUAAACUCGCUUAUCUUGAACCAAACUCGCCAGCUUGGCCAUCCCAAACCAACGGCUUCGGAAUCCCGAACUCCCGGCAAAGAACAACCAGAAAGAACUUCGGAAUUCGAAGUCCAUAGGCGCAAGAACCCGCAUCUUCCCAAUCCGACAAGAAGAUAACCGCCCAAAAAGAAUCAGAUCAACAAUUUCUCAACCUCCAGCUAACUUCGUCUCUUCAAACAAACCCAUCACCACCAGAACAAGAACCUCUCGCGCGAAAAUGGGCACCUCGCAAAACGACCCCCGCGCCCCAAAGAACACGACCAGCUUCAACAAGGACGCCGACCCACGAUUCUUUUUUCCCUCCUUUUUCCCCCCGAAAGAGCAGAAGCAAGCAAAAAGGAAAAGAACCGAGCCUCACCCGAUCGCCGUUGUUCCGGACGAGGAAGUCCCUGUCCGGAGAAGACAGCAGGGACUGCACAUCGUGCGAAGCCACCGCGCCGCCUUCGACAACAUCCGCCAUCCUCGUCGCUCGAGCUCCUCUGCGUUCCGGGCGUCUGCUUGCUGAACUUUGUUCUCCUGAGAAUCCCCUCCAAUGGCGGGCGCCUGCUCCUCAGUAUUUAUACGCGACAUGAAGAAGCUUCUCCGGCACGCAGAUAAUUUUCUUGAUUUUUUUCUUUUUAUUAUUAAUGACCAUUGACUCCUUAGUGUUUUUUUUUUUUUCAACCUUUUUUUUAUUUAGAUUUUUCUUUUUUCGGAUGCUUCCUGGGACUUUCCGAACCGCAAGCAAGGCAUCUCGGGAAGUGGGGUCCAUACGUGGGAAUGUCGCGGGGGAUGGAUGCCUUCGCCACGUCAGCAGAUCGAUGCCUUCGUUUUUUUCUUAUUUUUGAUUUUUUUUUUCUUUCGCCAUUCCUUACUUCCUUUCUAAGAGUCCACGUGUCCAGCAUCCAAGGUCGAAGUUUCCCCAGAAUUUUUCUUCUCGCCCGGUCGAUUCCAUAAUAAUGGCAUAAGUAUAUAGAAAGUCAUAAAAUUUAUCAUGUGAGUAUAAUCUAGUCUUGAAAUUUUCGAAAAGUACAAUUAAGCUUUCGUCAGGAAAGUGUAUUUGAAUUAUAAAAUUUUCAAAAAGCACAAUCAGAUUGGUCCAAUCAAAUCUUUCCGACAAUUGUAUUUUUUAAAAAGUUUUAUGACUAAAUUAAACUUUCGUGAUAAAUUUUAAGAUUUGAUAACACUUUGUGGAAGUUUUAUUACUUGAUUGUACUCUCGUAAUGAAUUUUAGGAUUUCAUUACACUUUUUAAAAAAUUUAGAAUUUAAUUAUAUUUUCCUAACAAAUUUUAGAAUUUCCAAUACAUUUAUCCCUAUAAUAAAAGUUGAAACUUUAAGUAAUUUGAAAUGUUUUGUUUUAUUUCACAAAUUUGCGUUUUGCCUUUUCCGUUAGCACGUGGCCGUCAAUUGAAAAACGAAAGCGUGCAAUUGCUCAACUCGAGUAGAUAAGCCUGAGAGUGUCAAUUCGCUUUUGCCUUGCUUAGAGAACAUUAAAAAAAAUUUGGUGAAAAGUCGUCAAAAGAUAAUGUUAUUUAUUUCUUUUCACUAAUUUUUUUUUUUUUUUGGGCGAUAUUGAAAAGUAUUAAUGGCCAAGAAUGUGGUCGGAAAGUCAAAAUGGGACAAAUAAGAAAAGCACAAAAAGAAAGGUUGGAGAACGUCGGUUGUCUAGGCGAGGACGAAACGGAUGACGUCGUCAAAGGUCGGAUGGUGACGUGUGACGCGAUUGCUCCUCGUUGAGACGCGGCACGUACAAAAGGUAUGGAGAAUAUUCCAUAGUUGAUGCUUCUUUUUUUCUUGGGGUGUGAGUAAAAUACAUUAAUGCAAUUGCUUACAAGCACAGUUCUCUAACCUUGACAAAAGAAAUGGUAAUAUAAAUUUAGGAUCUGACUAAAUUUUUAAAAAUUUAACAUUUUAAAAGAAAAAAAAACCUUAAAAAAAUGCUUGAAAACUCUCAUAAUUAUAAAAAUUUAAAAUUCGUAUGUCUACUUUCCAUUUAAGCAGUUUUUUCACAACAGCUUCAAUUGUGAAAAUGAGUUAUGCAACUCUCGCAAAAAGAUAAGUAAAUAUAUCACAAUCAUAGUUAUUUGCAACUUACUAUAACUUUUUAAUAAGCCGCUUCACUCAAUAUUAAGAUCUAUAGUUUUACAAAAAGAAUCCGUGCCACAAAAAAUUUUAGAGUAAUAUAUUCAUGAUUUAUUAUCUCAAAAUAAUUUUUAUACUGCCAAAGAAAAGGGUAAUGCUUUUUUUACUCCUCGUUUGGGUUGGACACUUUUUUUUUUAUUGUUUGACUAUACUAUCCGUUGUGAAGCCCACCACUUCUUAUACAACUUUACAAAAGUGAUAUUAUUAUUAUUAUUAUUUGGUAAUGCUUUGUAUUUUGUUUCUUCUUUUUUUUUUUUUUUCUGGGCAAGUCCCACUUUCCUCAUUCUUCUUUCUUUCUUUCUUUCCAUACCUUUAACGUCUUAGUUCUCUAUUCUUGCAAAUCGUCUUUCUAUUUUCUCUUUUGUAGGCCAUUGUCUUCUUUCAACGCCUCUAAUUCCUUCUUUAUCUUCUCUCAAAAAUCUCUCAUGCAAUUGCAAUCUCCAAAAAAACUACUUACUUCAAUACCCAGACAGAUAUUGAAAACUGAAUCAAAUUAAAUUAUUAAUUCAAAUCUCAAUUCUUAUUACCUAAAAGAACACAACUCACCUAUUGCCCUCAAUUUUAUGCCUACAUAUGGUGGAGACACUAUAAUUCAAAUCUCAAUUUUCUUUCUUGACGCCUUUUCUUUCUCUAGACACUAACAUGUACAAAAAGAAGAGAAAAAUAUACAAAAAAAGGAAAAGAGAGAAGCAAUUCUUUUCAAUAUUACCUUUCAUGGUGCAAUAAGAUCGUGUGUACGGUGGAGAAAAAGAGCUUGUUGGAGUGGUCAUUGGUGAACCCAAUGUCGGCGCUAGUGAAAGUGUAAAGGACAACGAGCUUGUCAUCAUAGAUUGAAAAACAGAGGACGAUGGGGUUCAUGCAAGAAGACAAAGAAGGAACAGCGGGAGGCGUAAAAAGAAAAAAAUGACCAACGAGAGAGGAAACAAAGAGACGAUUUAUAAAAGCGGAUACUGAGAUGUCAAAUGCAUGAAGAAAAGAAGAAGAAGGAAAAUGGGACUUGCAAGAAAAAAAGAAGAAGAAACAAAACUAAAAAUAUUUACCAAAUAAUAGAAAAAGAUCGCUAUUAUAAAGUUGUAUUAGAACUAAUUCUCAUAAGGGAUGGUAUGGUCAAAACACACACAAAAAUGAAGUGUUUAAACUAAAAGAAGAGUGGAAAAAGCAUGGCCUCAGAAAAAAUUCACAUCACUAAAAUCUCACCUCGUAAAACAUGCUAAAAUUUGUUAAUUUUACACAAAAGAUCCCUUAUGUUUCAAAAAUAUGUCAAAAUCCUUAAUUUUUCCUUGAGCCUUUGGCAAUUUAAGAUGGAAGGAGGGAGGAGGAUCAUAUUUCGUUCCUAAUUUCUACUCUCAAUUCAUUUUCUUUCGAUCACACUUCCCCAAAAUAAUAUCAUUGAAAAAACUCAUUUAUAUUAAAUCAUCAAGUUAGAUUCAUAUUGUAUCCCGAUCAUCUUAAUUAUUUAUUAUGCGUGUUUCAACGUCAGCAAUUUAAUGGGAAUAUUAAACAGAAGUUAACGGAUGAUAAAUUUGUCACGAUUACAUUAAUUUCAAAUUUUUCAUAAUGUGAAAAUCAAAUUUAAGAACAGUAAUAUGGACAGGAAAUUUUUAAUGGUAUUGAUCCGCACGACAUAUCACAUCAUGCCACCUCAACAUUCGGUUCCAAACUGGCUUUUCAAAAAUUUCGAAAAGACCGAGAAAGUCUAGGCCAAAGUCUUCGCGAAUUAAUAAUUGCCGACAGUGCUGAUCCAGGGCAGGUCGUCCUGGGAAGAUCAGAAUAUGAAACCUCAGUAGUGCACAGACAUUGAGAAAAAAACCAAGAAUAUAAUCAUCAUUGUCUUUUUCUUGCGUUUGUUCGGAUUCCCCACUCCAAAGCCACGUGUCCUUUAUUUUAUUUUUUCUUUUUUCCUAUUUUUUUCUUUGCAUUUGCUUCGAAUAUCACUUUGAUAUGAAUGUCGCCUUUAACUUUUUCUCUUUGCUCGUUAAAUCUAAGUACAAAAUAAUUGCUAUUUAUAGUCACCUGCAACUUUUUAAAAUUUUUCUCAUUCGAAUUUUCUUUUUUAAUUCAAAGAGUGUUCAAGAAGAGCUUUUUGCUUCACUUAAAUCCAUCGACGAAGUGGAAUAAAUUCAUUUAUAGUCCGAUAAGCCCUCAGUAUAUCUAAACUUUACCCAAUUUUCUAAUGAAUUUUUAAAAACUCAGUUUCCUUAAAAAUCAUAAACAUUAAGGGUAUGUUCGUUCAUGAUAAAGGAAAAUAUUUUCUAUAAAAUAACUUUCGAGUUUUUAUUUGUUUAGUGCUUUAUAGAAAUUGAUUUUUCUCUUGUUAGAAUAAGAGGCCGUUUUUCUUCCAAUCCAAGCAUGGUGAUGCUUUUGAUAAAUUAAUUAGUUUUCUGUUAUCCAAAUACCACAAAGUCUGAUAAUAAUAUUUAUAAAAAAAUGAUUUUUUUUCAAGCAAACAAUCCUAAGGUCUGUCCCAAUUCUACUCCGAAUCUUUUUUUUUUCAAAGAAAAAUUAUCAACUUUCACUUAAGUCCCCAAUUAACCCUCUGUCCAAAUGUCACUCAUUUUUUCUUUAAAAUCAUCAACAUCAUGAGGCUACUAUUAUUUUAUAUGAAAGUGAGGGUGUUGAUAAAGAUGUAGAUUUUGAUAAUGAAGAUUGAAAUGACCUUGAUGUUGAUAAUAUCAAAGAAACUAGUAGCAAUUAUUUUAUGUCUAGGUAGAUUUAGGACUAAAGUGAAAGUUAGUAAAAUAUCUUUAGACAAAGGAAGUUCGAGACAAAAUUGAGAUUAAAUCUAAAGUUUGAGAGUUUUUAAGGGUAUUAGGACAAUAUCUGGAGGGUCAGCUCACUGAUUUUUUAAGUCCCAUAAUCACUUACCCCGCCACAUCUCGUCAAACUACAUUUUGGAGAAGCUCGAAUUGCAAAAUAACUAAAAGGCCCAACUAUCAAACAAAGCAAAUUAGGUUUCAACAUCUUGUUUUGUUUAUUGAACUGGGGCUAUUGUUAGCUAAUUUAUUGUGUCAUGAAACAAUUUUUUUUUAAUCCUUUUCCCUUUAAUGGAAUUAAGCACCGUAAUCAAUGAAUAGACGGAGCAACCUUCUUAAACUUAAAAACACAUAAAAUAAGGAUCACAAGGGGACAUAAAUAAUUUAUGUUAUAUAUUCCCACUUCUAAAAAGAUGAUCUCAAACAAAUGAAAUGACAUGUCAAUAGUUGUAUGUGUUAAAAUAUUUAUAUAUCAAAUCACGUUUUCAUCGAAUAAUUUAAUUUUCUAAAAUUAUUGGUACAAAACCUAUUCAUGAUAUCAAAGUAGAAGGUCUUGUAUUUAAAUAUUUACUUGGUCCAAAAUCCCACCGUGCGCUUAUUAUCCUUCUUCAGCUUUGCUGAUUUUUAUUUAUUUUUAACAAUUUAACCAUGACUUUCUAAUUUACAUAGAUCAAUAUAUUUUUAUUUGAAAUUUCUUAUAUAAUUGUUUCAACCCUAACAACAAAAUGUUCUUGUCUAAAAUCAAUAUAAAUAUAGCGUUAAUAAGGUUAUAAUAUUUUACCCCAAAAAAAAAAAAGUAAGCACACUAGAAGUCCUAAAAUUUAUUGCAAAAGCGCAAUUGAAUUCUAAAAUUUUUAGUGCAAUCAAGUCCCUUGGUUAAUUUUGUCUAACUUAGCUAAUGGAAAAUGUUAGCAUAGCAUUUUUACUAUUUUUUUCUCUCCUACAUGGAGCUAACGUAGUCAAAACAAAAAUGAUAAAGCUAAAAAGGUGUUAUUUUUAUCCAAAUUUGAUUUCUUAAUUUAAAUGUUAUUUAAGAUUUCAAGUGCACUUACCGUACAAAGAAAAGUAAAGCCUUACGCAUGACAAUUUUUAAAAUUGUGAUGGAGCUAUGUCUUCAAAAGGAUAAACUUCAACCACUGGUUCAUUUUCUUGAUUAUGAUUCCGCCACAGUAAAUCGCAUGGGACUCCAAACAUUUCUCGACAUUCUAGACUCGAUCAAAAUCUAUAGAUUUAGGUUUAGUCUUGAAUCGCAGUUAAUGCCGACAUUUCUUUGUCCUUACCAAAGAAAGAGAAAAAGAAGUGUGGAAAUGUUGAAAUUGAAGUCUUUGAAUGUACCAAGUUCCAUUUUCUGCUAAAGAAGGAAGGAACAUUCGAAGUCAAAUGUACUGGUUCAAUCUGCAAAUUUUACCUCUUCGACGAAGUGGAAGAUAUAUGAACAUCAAGUCUCAUGCUCUUGACAUUUACAUUUGAGUUUGAUAUAAGGGGAAGUUGAAUUAAUCCAUCUUCUUUCCCCAAGAACUAGACAUUGCUCACAGGUGCUAUUUCGUGAACGAGAGCUGCACAAUUCGGCCUAGAAAAGCCGACAGUUCUUGCAAACCGAACUGCUUCUAUAAGCAUGUAGUAUCACUAUUGAGUAUCAGCAAGGAACUACUUUUGCAGCACUUCUUCUGUCUUGUUUCUUACGAUCGCUCUUCCUUAAGAAGACUAGCAAUAUGCAUUCCGGGAGCAUGGGAUCAUCAAGCAAGACUUUGGAGAAUUAAUGCGGGAUGAUUAACUUUUCAUUGCCACAAAUUAUAUCAGCAUAUCCAGAUGUAGAGUCACCAUCUGCUGAUGUAACGGAGGACCUAUUACCAUAACCAUAAACUGAACAAGAACUAACCACUAGGACUUGAGGAAAGAUCCAUACAAAGUGUAUUGAUUAAACAUGUUCUGUCAAGUCCAGUGUGCAUGCAAAUCUCGAAGCUGCAUCAUCAAAAGGAGAGACGGAGACACUUGCAUGACAAACGGACAAUUCAAGCCUACCACUCUGUUUGGCACACGGCUAGUCGACGAUGAACAUUAUAUCACGACAGCAAAUUGUCAAAGUCAUAAUACACGCCAUAUAUCUCACAUACAAACCCUUUGCAGAUCAAGCUCGGAAACAUCCACCCAGAAAAAAAGAAGAAAAAAGAACUGCUUCAAAGAAGUCAUAUAUAAAGAAACUACAAGACAGUAACUUCUAGGCCUUAUAACAGACCUCACCAUCACAGAUUCAUCCCUCUUUGGCAUCUCCUCCUUCCUCUGCUUCCUCCCCAGCUGCUUCAGCAUCUUCAUCUAACUCGUUUUUAGUCGUUUUCUCUUCUUUAACAGCGCAUUUUGGGUGGAGAUCAAAGUCACACUCCUCGCAAUAAUACGACCACCCCUCCCCUGCCUUACCGCAGCCAUCACAAUUGUACCUUCUCCUCUGAGCAGGAACGAGCUCGUGCUUUUCAUGCAAAGGAUGCUUCAACUUCUCUGGCCAGCCUUUUAUACUUUCCUUGAACUUUUCCUCAAACUUCUUGAGAUGUUCGGCAGUAAAAGGAUAAGCAUCAGCCCCGUGGUCCAUUAUAAGAUCCCUUGCUUUUUUACUCACCGUCCGGCCCGUUGGGCCUAUGGCUACAAGCAUGGGGAUCCCCUUGACCUUGAAUCUGCGACUCAGGAAUUUCUUCCUCUCAUCACCAAAGGGAAGCGCCAGCCAUGGCAUCUGAGCAAAAUAAUCGUCGAAGGCAGUUUGGUCCUUGUCGCUGGAGAUGAAGAUCACCUCAAAGGCAUCGUCUGUGGCCUUGAUCUUUUCGUAUGCCUCCGAAAGCACCGGCAGGAAUGCUCGGCAAGGAGGGCACCAGUGUGCCGAGAAGUAAAGGAGGAUAGUCUUCCCUACCAAGUCCGAUACUGGAAUCUGCAAUCAAAGUUAAGAAACGACCUUUUAGACGAACCACCAAUCAAUGGAGAAGGCAUGUGAAAACUGCAUACAUGGAAAGAAUUUUCCUAGUUAUGGACCUGGUUUCAAUCCUUUCCUCAGAUCAAGUAACCGAGGGACAACAAUAUUUAGGACCUCAUUGUAGACAUUAAAAAUUUCCCCAGUCAUUAGCUUCUAGGGGAAAAAACAAAUUUACCUUGGUUCCAUCCUUUCCAAUGACGAAAUCCAGAUCCCCUGAAACCAAGAUCGACUCCAAGGUCUGAGAUUCUUCCCUUUUCUUCUCUAUCUCUGCAAGCUCUGCAAACUUUUCUGGAGUGAAGGGAUAAGCUGUGAUGCCAUGCUCUUCGACAGUUUCGGCAACGUUGGCAUGGACAGUCUUCCCAUCCUGACCGAUAAUGACCAGAGUGGGUAGGGUCGACAGCUUAAAGUACCUCACCAACUUCUCGCAUUUCUUGUCUUUGAAUGGUAAUGAAAGCCAUGGCAUGCUGCCAAAGGAUUGGUUGAAUGAUGCUUCAUCAUCAUCGAGAGGUAUCUGAACGAUCUCAAAACUCUCUCCUCUGGCCUUCAAUUUCUCAUAAACCUCCAGUAACUUAGGCGUGAAAUCGACGCAUGCCCUGUGCACGGACAACGAGAAGUACAGACCCACUGUUUUCCCUUCAAGCUCAGUAACAGGAACCUACUUUGGCCACAAAACUAUUAGUAAAAGGAGGAUGGAAAACCGAAUCAUAAGCACAUGCGACCAUCAGUUUCAAAUGCAUCGAAGAUCUUUUUUAGGUUUACCUGAUUCCGAUUGGACGAAACUACGAAGUUACGAGAUCCAUGGACCAAAAGAGAGGUCAAUGAUUGAUUUAUCCUGGCAGCUUCUUCCUGGUCUUUCAACUCUUUGAUACGUUCUGGAGUGAAAGGGUGACCUUCCACUCCAUACUCACGGACAAUCGCAACUCCGCUAUCUGUUAAGACCGUACCUGUGCCAUCGAGAAUGACAAGGUGGGGUAUCCCCCUCACCUUAAACAAUUCAUCCAAGCUAUUGCGCUUGUCCAAGUCGGAAAACGGGAUUGCAAGCCACGGCAUCUUGGAAAAGUAUCCACUGAAGGACCCUUCAUCCUUAUCUGCAGAGAUAAAAAUGAUCUCCAGAUCACCUUUUGGGGAAAGUUCAUCGUACACCUCCGCCAGAAUCGGGGUGAACCGGUGGCACGGACCGCACCACGAUGCAGAGAAGUACAAGCCAAGCUUCUUCCCCUUCAAGCUAUCGACCUUAACCUGAUAUAGAACAAAAAGAUUCCUAAUUUUAGUUCUUUCAUACGGUAAUCAGCGAGCAAGGCACACUAGAUCACUUGACCACCACACAAAAAUCCUGAAAGUGCUCAAGAUACACAUCCAAAUGCCAACUGCAGAAGCACUUCCCUUAAGCACUGCUCAUUAAAUAGUUAGCAAAUCAGCAGUCUUCUCCACCAAAACAAGUAUACCACACAGAAGGUGUGAGCAUUUACACUAAAGAGCAUUACUUCAUAGCAAUAUCGGAUCCAUAUACACUGCUCCCACCUGAUCCAACUCCAAGUAACAUGUCUUUCUCUAAAAAGUAAUGCAUCAACUACCGAUCAUCCAGUUUCUGAAGGAAACAAAUGGACAGCACUCGAAAAUGAUGAUCCUAGAUCAGACCAACUUUAGCUUCUCUUGAACUAAAUUUAAAAACCGAUCAGCGAAACAACCCCACACGAAGACGAAGGCCACGAGAACUUCGACAAGGACGCCCACCCAUAAUUCUUUUUCUUUCACCUCAUCCAGCGAAAGAGCAAGAGUGAAAGAAGAGAACUGAGUUUCACCUGAUCGCCGUUGUUCCGGAUGAGGAAGUCCCUGUCCGGAGAAGACAGGAGGGACUGAACAUCGUGAGAAGAAGCCCCGCCUUCGACAACGUCCGCCAUCCUGGUCGCGUUCGUUCCUUGUGUCCUGUUCUCGUGUCUCUGCAGAGAGUCUGCCUGAGAAUCCUCCUAUGGCGGGCUCCUGCUGCUCUGUUUAUAUACAUAAAGAAAAUCCCGUGCAAGCACAUAUAUUAUUUAUUUUUAUUAAUAUUAUUAUUACGAUUAUUUGCUCUUUAAUUUUCCCUUUUUCUAUAUGUAUAAAUAUAUAUAUAUAUAUAUUAUUUUUUUUUCGGUUUCUGGAUGCUUCCUUGGACUUUUGGGGACGGCAAGGACGUCAAGGACGGUAGGAAACACGUGGACACGCAUGAUAAAUCUCAGUCUCCAUUUUCUUAUUUUGUAUAUAUGUUUUAAUUUACUACCUUUUACCUUUCCUUGCUUCCUACGCUUCCGGUAAGCGGUGUGUUUGGUAAUCAUUCUGUUUCGAGUAAUACUUUUUUAUGAGAAAUGAUUUUUUUUUCUAUUUCUGUUAUUGGGAAUAAUUUUUGAACAAAAAAAUGUAUUUAGUAACUUACCAAAUAUUAUAUUCUCGGGAUAAAAAUACGUUUGGUAAAAUUCUUAGAUUUUUUUUAUUUCUUUUAUUUUUUUAAUUAUUUUACUAUUUAUUCUUAUUUUUUCCUUUUUCUUUUUUCUUUUUCUCUUUGGUUGGUCACUGGUGACUGCCGUGGUCGGCGACGUCUGGCGUGCUUGCCAAAGUCUCGCUAGGCCAAGGUGAGGCUCGACGAGGCUCGGCCUCACCUAAGCGGUGCAAGGGUUGGCCUCGUGUCAGCAAGGGAGGCUGAGCCUCGUCGUGGCUUGGCGUCUUCGAGAGUUAGCGACGCUCCGGCAAGGUCAUCGGCCCUCGUCUGGCCGGUUAGGCCGGCGACUGGCAAAAUGAAGAAGAAGAAGAAAAUAAAGAGAAGAAGAAAAUAGAAGAAAAAAGAAGAGAGAAAAAUUGAUUCUAGAAAUUGUUUUGAAAAAAGUAAAUCACUUGAAAAAUAUUUUCUUAAAAAUAAUCACUUGUAUCGCUUACAAUAAUGAAUAAGUGAAAAAAUAUCUUUAUUGUCCAUGAAAUUGUUUAUUUAUAAAUUAUUAUCGAUUUAACUAAUAAUUUUAAGAGAUAUAAGUGAUGAUUUUUAGGAACAUAUUUUCUAAAUCAUUUAUUUUUAGCAAAAUAAACUGAAUUUUAGAUUGCAUCUUAUUAGUUAUAGAAUUUAACUCAUGACCCAAAAUAAAAGAAAACUCAUGAAUAAUCCUAUUUCAUACGGUUUAAUAUUCAUCAUGCAUGCCGUCUAGCGCUUAGGGACGCGCAGGAAAGUUUGGGAUGGCUGGGACACGUCAGCAAGUCGGCUUUAUCUUCUCAUUUUAUUUGUUAUUUGACCCCUUGACCGUUGCUUGCUUCCUCCACAAGAAGUUCAUCUCGAAAAAUUAAAGCUUGACAAAAUUUCGUUUUUUUUACCCUCUCAAAUUUUUAUAUAAGUUAGAUUUUAAAAGCUUGACAAAAUUUCCUCUUUUUACCCUCUCAAUUUUUAUAUAAUUAGAUUUUAAAUUCUUUUGAGAGCUAAAUUGCAUUUUUGCCUUUUUAUUCGCGCAUGGGUUGGCGUUAUGUGAGAAAUUAAAGGUAUGAUUGCUCAGGUCAAUUUUUAAUUAUAAUUUAGAUUUUUAAGUUUUGAAGAAUUUCUUUCUUAAUUUUUUAAGAAUUUCAGAUUUACCCCUUAAAUUUUUGUUGGUUGCCAAACAAAAAAUAAAGUUGAUGGGCCUAAUAAUAAAAUAGGGUAUAAAAUGGUAAAUCUAUCGCUACGAAUCUAUCUAAUGAAGAACUAAUUCCCUAUAAAAAAAAAAAAAAUUCUCAACUUUAGGUCUAGUUCCAAUUCUCUCUUAAUUUUUUAUCUAGAAAAAAAUCUAAAACUUUAGAUCCAGUCCAAAUUUGUCCCCAACUUUUAUUUGACUUAAAAAACUCAACUUUAAAUUCAAUCUUAAAUCUAUUUCAAACUUUUUAUCUUUAUCUAAGAGAAAAAUCAUCAAUUUUGACUUUAGUUUCAAAUUUGCCUCCAUUAGUCCUCUAUUCAAAAAUCAUUGUUAGUUGUCCGUAAUUUUCAUAUUCUAUAAUAGUUUUAUUUUGGAGAUAACUUUUCACGUCACCUUCCUAACGUGGAUCUCUUAUCAAUGUGUAAAUGCCAUAUUAAGUAGGGAUUACACCACGAGCCUAGAUUUGAAAAUAAAUUGAAAGCUGGUGAUUUUUUAGACAAAACAAAAUUCAGGUUUUGGGGUAUUUUCUUUAAAAAAAAAAAAAUAGAGGCAAAUUCGGGACUGAAUCUAAAGUUCGGGUUUUUUUUUUAGACAAAAAAAAUUGGAACAAAAUUACGAUUAGACUUAAAGUUGGAAAUGUUUUAGGAAAUUAGAUAAUUUAAUCAAGAGAAAAAUCAUAGACAAGAAAAAGAUAAAUACGAAUUCGUUGAGUUGAUAGGGAUAACUGAAGAAAAUAAUGCAAUUGAAAAAUGUAAAUUCCAUGAUAUAAGAAGUUGGCAAAAAUUAGGAUGAUAAGGCUGACUUGAAAAGGUAAGGAUAAUUUCUUUGCUUCGUCACGCUAACCAACCCAAACUUGACCACCAAGGAUAAUUCACUUUCCUUUGUUCUCUCGAGGCUCCAUGGAGCUCCAUUAUAAGCUAUUUUACCCCUUUCUUCUUCUUCUUCUUCUUCUUCUUUUUUUGAUCUUUCUAAACUUUACUAAUUCACAAUUAUUUAGCAUAUAUGAUCCACGAAGACUGUGAUUAACAACAAUAAAUAGCAACAAAACAGCCGCAUCAAAUAGAUGAAAAAUCUCGUAGCUUUUUCUUAAGCGAAACCUAUCAUUUUUCAAUCCUCUUUGAGCUUCAAUACCCAAAAGCAUCAAUUACAUUGUAAUGUUUAUAGCGGAGAAAUUACUAAAUCAAUCAUAAAUUUAUAAUACGGAUGUAAAUUUCAUCAUUAAUUUUUUCAUUUCUCAAGCCACUUCAAAUGAUAAUUCUAAAAGUUGAAAAUUCUACAAAAAUCCGAAUAGGAGGAUGAGACCGAUUUGCAGGGAGGGUGAAAAGGGGGGGAAUUAAAAAGUAUUAUGCGAAACUUGGUGACCAAGGAGGUGUUAUCCUUAGUCAAAAAGGAGAUAAAGAAGGAAGAACGUGAAGGAGGGGUUGGAAAAUGACCGUGCGCCUGACGUGUCUGCGCUGUUGGUCACAAGGACGUGUUCUUGCUAGUCAACAUCAAGGUGAUUGUCGUACAAAAAGCAAGGGGGGAUUCCAUGCCGGUGUUUCUUUUUCUUGGAAAAUUGGUGUUCGAUCUCAUCCUUAUUGGUAUUCACACUCUUUUGGUCAAGCUCCUAAGCAGGAACGAGGACAAAAAGCAACAUGAAAUUGGAGAUCAAACUAAAUUUUGAAGAAGGGAGGAGGAAAACUAGCAUUAUAAACCGAAAUCCAUAUGCCUAACUAGCAUUCGGAACAGAUUUCUGAACAUCUUCAACAGGUCCUCUCCUUCCUCUUUGUUUGUUUGUUUUGUUUUUGCUAAGAAAGUAAGUAAAUAGAUUAUUAGAAUGAAAAAAAAAUAAUAUAUGGGGUGCAUACUCGAGAGACUUGGUAAAAAAACUAUAAAAUAAUUAAAUAAUGAAAAUAAUUUUAAAAAAAAUGUAUAUAUACUUAUCAAGUUCAAUUGAGAAUUGGAUUGGUACUCACCAAUUUCAUUAGAUUGAAAUCAGGAUUUGGAUCAGUCCUCAUGGGAACCGCCAAUUUUGUACUAGUUCAGCCUGAUUUUGUGCCGUUUAGAUGAUUUCCGAUUUCUUAACACACCUCUAAUUGUGACUUUUAUAAAGUAUAUUGUAAAUACCUCACAGUUAUGGCUACUUUAAAAUUUCAGCACCCUUUGAUGACUUUCUAGGAAGCCACCGCAGCCAACAUUGAAGUGCUACAAUUUAUAAAAUAUGUAUUUCAUAACCACAAAAAGCCACGUCAUCUUAUACAUUUUUACCAAACUGGCUCUACUAAUUUUGAAAGGGAAAGACCAAGAACAAAGAGUCAACGUCAAGUCUUCGGGCAUUAAUUAUUGCCGACGAUACCUAAUCCACGACGGGUGGUCCUGGUCAAGCAGGCUAGAAAAACUCACUCUUUGCACGGAUAUCGUGAAAAACAGAAUAUAACACGUGUUUUUCAUUUUUAUCUUUUGUACAAUUUAUUUUCGAUUUGCUCUUAAUCCGACUUUUAUAUGGAUAUUUCCUUUUUACUUUCUCUUGUUCAUUAAAUUUUUGCAUCGAGUACAUAAAUACUGAUGCGUACCUGUAUUUUUCAAUCUUUUUUCAUUUCAAAUUCUUUUCAUUUACCUUGCUUGAAAUUUUUUUUGCAACUUUACAGUGACUUUCUACAUUUAUAUAUGUUAAUAUUUUUAUUUAGACUCUUUUAUAUUGUUGCAUCGAUUUCACUGGCAAAUUAUUUUGGUUAUGUCCUUACUUUUGUUAUCAACGUAAGUACAUUGUCAAUAAGUAUGAUAUACAAAAAGGGGGGAAAAGAAAUGGUGAACUCGUACCGACUCAGGAUUGGAAGGAAAAAAUACACUUAUCGAAGCUAAAUCGCCUGGUGCCAAUCGUGACCACUAGCUCAUACAGCCAGCUGCAUUGUCUAUUUUCGACAGCCGUGAAGCAACUUUUUAUGAGAGCAUCUUAAUCUCUCUUUCUGCUGGCAACCCACUUCAUCAAAUACUUUACAUGGCCAGCCCGACCACAUUUUUUCCCAUUACUUUCCUCACUGGCAAUGAGUUGAACUGAAUGAGUCUGGAAACGUCAAAGGUUUUGGUGGAAUGCUAGACUGCGUAUCGGAGGACAGUGUUGAACUGGAGGAAGUGCCUAAGGCUUGAGGAAGGCUCGUGUGGAGGUUGAUACCAGAGCUUUCUUCUUCUCCAUGGCUAGUUGGUUCCCAUUGCUCCACGAGGGGAUGCAAAAUAUUGACAAUGUGGCCCAUGUCCGGUCUCUGGAACGGUUCCUCAGCAGUGCAAUGACGAGCCAGCUCAGCAACUUUGAUUAUACUCUCUAAGGUUUCUUCAUCGGGGUCAAGAGUGUGGUCGAUAGCUUUCAGGAUGUUUUCCUUAUCGAUCAGAACUCUACGGAACCAAGUGACCAAGUGCGCCCUCUCAUCUGGCAUGGUGUUGUCUAAUGCUUUUCUACCGGUAAUGAUCUCCAUCAAGACAGCACCAAAUGCGUAAACGUCCACCUUUGUAGUUACCCUUCCAGUGGCUGUACGGACAGAAAAAGACCCAUACAAAGUUCAAUGCAAUUUCAUCGAUAAGGAAAAGAAAAGCCUCUGCUCAGAUUUCAUGUUAAGAGAAGCUAAAAGCGCCCCAAGAAUGGGUAACAUAAAGAAGUCACCCUUGGUUUCUAAUCAACAAUUUGUAGUCAGGUGAUUUCACUAUCCCCCUAAUGUGGAUCAGAGCAAUUGAAUUGACUUAGAUAUUUUAACAGCAAUCGUGCACAUUUGAGUUAAUUAAUGCGUGCUGAUCAAUGAGGUGAAAACAUAGAUAUAAAGUCCACUAGUUCGUCUGCAGGACUCCUAUCCAUUAUUACUACUGAAAGAUAUCACACUUAUGUAAUCUCGAUGAAAGAAACAAUAGAGAUCAAUUUACCUAAUGCAUAUUCAGGAGCUAAAUACCCAAAAGUUCCAGCCAACUGUGUCUGCAUGGAAUACUUCCCAUCAGGAACAUUUUUAACCAAACCAAAGUCAGCAACUUUGGCUCUCAUGUCAUCUUCCAGCAGUAUGUUUACUGGCUUCAAAUCCCUAUGGAUAAAUUUUUGUUGGGCUAAACUGUGCAGGUAUUCCACUCCUCUAGCAACAUCCAAAGCAAUGGUCACCCUUUGCUUCCAAGUCAGAGGUGCAUACCCCUUCUCUUGCCACUCGAACAGAUGUUGCGCGAGAGUCCCUUGUGGCAUAUAUUCAUACACUAAAAGCCUCUCAUCACCUUUGAUACAAUACCCUAAAAGCAUGACUAAAUGCCUAUGCCUCACUUUUGUAAGUACUGCAAUCUCAGCUUGGAAUCCCUUCAUUCCCUUCGUGCCCAUUGCCCCAGAUUCCAUUCUUUUAACAGCAAUUUUGGUGCCAUCAUGCAACUCCCCUUUGUAAACAACACCAAAACCACCUCUUCCUAAAAUGUUCUCUUCACUAAAAUUACAAGUCGCUUGUCUAAGGACUUCAAUUGAAAUUUUAACAUUUCCUCCUUUAAGAACGGGAAAAUCACUAUGGUCCCCACUGCUUUGGCUAUGCAAUUCACUUGGAAGCCCACCAUAACCAUUCAUACCAUUCCCGGCCCCAUUCUUAGCUACUUCCAUCCCAAUUUCCGGAUUGUCUACACUAUUAAAUUUCCUGUGUCGUCGGAUGAUGUAACGGAAUUUGUACAAGACAAGCAACACCACCACGAUGAAAAUAAGGACACCUACGACAACAGCAGCAAUUACACCAUCUGAAAGUGAAGAACCAUUUGACGAUCCAGGUGAGCCACCAUCAGUCGAAUUCGUCCCUGAACCACCGCUGCCUCAGCCACCAGUGUCCGUUUUACCAAUUAAUGGAUUACCAAUAGUAGUCAAUUUCACUGAGGCUGGGAAAACCGGUAUCGACCCAUUGAGAUUAUUGUUCGACACAUCAAGAACUUGAAGCUGAGUCAGCGUAGUCAAGCUUUCCGGAAUAGAGCCAGUAAGAUUAUUAUCGUUCAACAGCAGCGUGCGGAGCAAGGUGAGAUUCGCAAAUGCGGGCGAGAUGGUCCCACUAAACCCCCGCUUCGAGAAAAUAACAGAGGUCACAUUCUUCCCCUGGCAAGAAAUGGCACUCUAGCUGCCGUUGCAAGCAUCAUUCCCAGUCCAAGAAUCCGCCGGCGUGAUCGGAUACCCCAACGUACUAGCCACCUCAAGCAACGUAGUAACCUGUGGGUCGCAAGGGCCCGGCGCACUGUUGCAAAAGCUAUUGGUACCCCCGUAGGUAACGCUAAUUCCACUGCUAUUACUAGGGACGGGACCCUGCAACUUAUUGUUAUCCAAGGACACAUUCUUCAAGCCGGGGAGUGCCAACAGCGAGGCGGGCACAAGCCCAGUGAACUGGUUGUAGCUAAGCUGGAGAUCGAGCAAAUUAGUGCAUUGCGAGAGAUCGGGGAUCGGACCUGUGAACUGGUUGUUCUGGAGCCAGACCCGGCUCAGCUGGGUCAUCCCGGCCAACACGCUGAUGCCGCCGGAAAGCCCCAUCGCCUGGUUGUUGAUCCAGAGGUUCUGGAUCGAUGAAGUGCCGAAGGAGGAGGGGAGGGGCCCGGUGAGGUUGUUGUAGGAGAGACUCAGACUCAUCAGGCUAGGGAGGGUUCCGAGGAAGUCAGGGAUCGUGCCGGUGAUGUUGGUGUUGUCGGCGUAGAGGACAGUCAGGGACGUCGAGGCGUUGAGCUCCGCCGGGAUCUGCCAGGAGGGGAGGUCAUGAUUUUCGCUGAGGCUGAGGGUCUGGAGGCUGGUGAGGCCCUGGAAGGCGCCGGAGGUGAUGGAGGUGAAGUUGUUGCCGUCGAGGUAGAUGGACUGGAGGGAGACGAGGCCGGCGAAGGAAGGGACGGCGCCGGAGAGGGAGUUGCUCUGGAGGGAGAGGCUCUGGAGCUGGGAGAGGGAGGAAAGAUCCGAGGGGAGGGCGCCGGAGAGGGAGGAGGAAGAGAGGUUUAUGACGGUGACCCGGGAGGAGGAGUCGCAGCUGACGCCUGUCCACUUGCAGUAGGUCUGGCCCGAGGACCAGCCCGACGGCUUGAGGGCGGCGAGGAUCUCGGCCAUGACGGCGGAGUCGUCGGCGGAGACGGCGGAGGCGGCGAGGAAGAGGAGGAGGAGGAGGAGGAGGAAGGGGGCCGGAGAGCGGAGGCUCCCUGCGGCCAUUGUCGACGGCGUUGCUGUGGGUCGAGAGAGAGAAAGGCGUAAGCAGAGGGGGUGGGAUGCGCGGAGAAGGAAACAGAGGAAGUCGCGGUCGUUCUCUGUUUGUUCUCCUACGAGGCGAGAGAGAGAGAAAAACCCAGCAAAUUCAAGUGUCGAGAAGACUUUGCGGGAGUGUUACGUAUUUACUGAGGAGCAGGUCUUAUGAACAAGAGAAGGACGCGAGGGAGAGCGGCAUCACCCGGGAAAAUGGGGUCCAACAAUGUAGGAAACACGUGGACGCAUCGUACACGUCAGCAAAUCUCAGUCUCCAAUUUUCUUAUUAUAUAUAUAUUUUUUCGGUAAUUGAUAUAUAUUUUUUAAUUUACCCCGCUUUUACCAUUCCUUGCUCCCUACUCCCCCGAGAAGCCGCAUCUUUACCCUCCGAUGCUUGAAGUACUCAAAAAGAAUUUUGAUUUCAACCUUCUCAAUAUUAUAUUAUAACAAGUUAUGUAUUAUUUUUUUUUCAAAACAGUAUUUUAUUGAUGAGCUUGAGAAUUUUGCCUUUUUUGUAGGCACCCUUGCCUCUCUCCCUCCCAUUAAAUUUGAGAAAUUGGGGAAAUAAAAGAGGAAAUCAUUGGUGAAAAAUUCUAGAAGAAUCCGAAAUCCGCAAUGAUUAGGAGGAUGGGACGAAUUUGCAAGUAAUGUGGAAAAGGGGGAAGUAUAAUGCGAAACUCAGUGGCCAAGAAUGUGUUGUCCGUUAGUCAAAAUAAGAGAAUAUUCAAUUUCGAUGCUUUUCUUUUUUCUUGACUUUGCUAAUGAGAAAUCAAUUAGGAUUAAUUUUCAGUCAUUCUUUUAUGAUGUGAUACUAUCUGUUUGUUAAAUAAACAGAAAAUCCAGGAAAAAAAUUGAAAUUAAGGGUGUGUUUGUUUUGAAAAGAAUAUCACUUGAAAAAUAUUUUCUUAAAAAUAAUCAUUUGUAUUGCUUACAAUAAUGAACAAGCGAAAAGUAUCUUCAUUAUCCAUGAAAAUGUUUAGUUAUAAAUUAUUAUCAAUUUAACUAAUAACUUCAAGAGAUAUAAGCGAUCAUUUUAAAAAAAAAAUACUUUUUAAAUUAUUUAUUUUUAGCAAAAUAAACUGAAUUUUAGGUUGCAUCUUAUUAGUUAUGGAAUUUAACUCGAGACCAAAAAAAAAAAGGAAAACUCAUGAAUAAUCCUAUUUCAUAUGGUUUAAUAUUCAUCAUACAUGCCGUCUAGCUCUGAGGGAUGCGCAGGAAAGAUUGGGAUAGCUGGGACACGUCAGCAAGUCGGCUUUAUCUUCUCAUUUUAUUUGUUAUUUGACCCCUUGACCGUUGCUUGCUUCCUCCACAAGAAGUUCAUCUCGAAAAAUUAAAGCUUGACAAAAUUUCUUUUUUUUACCCUCUCAAUUUUUAUAUAAGUUAGAUUUUAAAAGCUUGACAAAAUUUCCUCUUUUUUACCCUCUCAAUUUUUAUAUAAUUAGAUUUUAAAUUUUUUUAAGAGAUAAAUUGCAUUUUUGCCUUUUUAUUUGCGCGUGGGUUGGUGUUAUGUGAGAAAUUAAAGGUAUGAUUGCUCAGGUCAAUUUUUAAUUAUAAUUUAGAUUUUUAAGUUUUUAAGAAUUUCUUUCUUAAUUUUUUAAGAAUUUCAGAUUUACCCCUUAAAUUUUUUUUGGUUGCCAAAAUAAAAAAGUUGAUGCGCCUAACAAUAAAAUAGGGUAUGAAACAUGGUAACUCUAUCCUUACGAAUCUAUCUAAUGAAGAACUAAUUCCCUAUUUUUUUUUUAAAAAAAAAAUCUCAACUUUAGGUCUAGUUCCAAUUCUUUCUUAAUUUUUUUUGUCUAGAAAAAAUUCUAAAACUUUAGAUCCAUUCCAAAUUUGUCCCCAACUUUUAUUUGACUGAAAAAACUCAACUUUAAAUUCAAUCUCAAAUCUAUUUCAAACUUUUUAUCUUUAUCUAAGAGAAAAAUCAUCAAUUUUGACUUUAGUUUCAAAUUUGCCUCCAUUAGUCCUCUAUUAAAAAAAUCAUCAUUAGUUGUCCGUAAUUUUCGUAUUCUAUAAUAGUUUUAUUUUGGAGAUAACUUUUCACACCACCUUCCUAACGUGGAUCUCUUAUCAAUGUGUAAAUGCCAUGUUAAGUAGGGAUUGCACCAUGAGCCUAGAUUUGAAAAUAAAUUGAAAGUUGGUGAUUUUUUUAGAUAAAAAAAAAAAUCGAGGCAAAUUCGGGACUGAAACUAAAGUUUGGGCUUUUUUUUAGACAAAAAAAUUGGACAAAAUUAAGAUUAAAGUUGGAUUUUUUUUAGGAAAUUAGGUCAUUUAAUCAAGAGAAAAAUCAUAGACAAGAAAAAAAUAAAUACAAAUUCGUUGAGUUGAUAGGGAUAACUGAAGAAAAUAAUGCAAUUGAAAAAUGAAAAUUCUAUGAUAUAAGAAGUUGGCAAAAAUUAGGAGACUGACUUGCAAAGGUAAGGAUAAUUUCUUAAACUUUUUUUUCAGACAAAAAAAAUUGGAACAAAUUUAAGAUUAGACUUAAAGUUGGAAAUUUUUUAGGAAAUUAUAUCAUUUAAUCAAGAGAAAAAUCAUAGACAAGAAAAAGAUAAAUACGAAUUCGUUGAGUUGAUAGGGAUAACUAAAGAAAAUAAUGUACGAUUCACUUUCUUUUGCUCUCUCGAGGCACCAUGGAGCUUCUUCUUCUUUAGAUCAUUUAAUCAAGAGAAAAAAUCAUAGACAAGAAAAAGAUAAAUACGGAUUCGUUGAGUGAUAGGGAUAACUGAAGAAAAUAAUGCAAUUGAAAAAUGAAAAUUCUAUGAUAUAAGAAGUUGGCAAAAAUUAGGAGGAUAAGACUAACUUGCAAGGGUAAGGAUAAUUUCUUAAUCUUUUUUUUUUCAGAUAAAAAAAAUUGGAACAAAAUUAAGAUUAGACUCACACAUGACAAAAUUUCUAUUUCUCGAUUUCUCUGUUUCUUUGUUCCCCGGAACAGGUUUGGAACAGAAAUCCGUUUGGUAACGCAAUUUGAUUUCUCUAUUUCUGAAAUAGAUCUCUAUUUCAGAAAUAGAGAAAUUGAAGAAAUCAGAAGCUGAAAUUUUUAACUUCUUAAUUUCUAAAAUAGAAAUCAGAAACUAAAAUCAAACCAUAUAAAAGAACCUUGCACUUUCUUGCUAACUUAAUUCACUCAUAACCACAACUUCACACAUUAUUGCUAAUUUUCUUUUUCUUAUUUUGCUCGUGUUUUUUUUUUUUUUUUGCAUUUUUUUUUAUAACUUCCUCUUUAUGAUGAAAGGCAAUCGAAUGGGUCCCUAAUUUUCAAAAACGAUCAAAGUUCUUAAAUGCUUACUUAAAAACGAUGGGGCUCUUUCCUCCUAGAAAAGGUACGGGUAUGGCCAAUUGAAGAAAAAGUUCUUACAUAAUAGAUGAAUAAAGAACGUGCCUAGAAAUUUAACCUUAUUUUUUUACGAAUUCAAAAUUCUUGCAAAAUCAAAAUAAUUAGAUUGUUACACAAUCUUGAAUUUUAAUUCGAAUGCAAAAGAUUCAAGAGAAACUCUCUCUUUGCUAUGCAAGGGCCAUUAAAGGUUCAUUGAGCAACAAUAAAGAAAUUAGGGAUGAGUAACUGGACUAAUUCAAUUCCAGAAUCAAAAUAAACCGACCUUCCCCCAAUUGAUUCCUAACCAUAAAUGUUACUUUAAGGUAGAAUUCUCUUAUAUUCCUUUACACCAUUAAUUUUAUUUUGUUGAUAAUCUUGUAUAAUACUAGUUUUUGAUAAAAUGACAAGGCUGUAUAGGCGUCAUUGAUGGCACCCAUAUUCAUGCUUCCGCAGUAUUUGUCUGAACCUACGUAGGAUGAGCUUGCAAACGAUACAUUGACCAAGGAGGGAAACCAAAUAAAUAUGCUUAGGAAAACAAUUUCUAAUAAAAUGGCAAUAGAUAAUAAUAUGCCGGAAAUUCUAUGAAAUUGUAUUUUCAACGUUUGUAAUGUAUUAGUAUUAUUUCGGCUAUUAUUUUGUAUUUGAGGAUUUCCUAUGUUAUUUUAGUAUUAUUUCGACUAUUAUUUUGUAUUUGAGGAUUUCCUAUGUUGUUAUCUAAUCAAUUUCUAUUCCUAGAAAUAGAAAUUUUGUUCUGUUAUCAAACGGAUUUCUGUUUUAGAAAUAGAAAUUUUGAGUCGUUAUCAAACAGGUUUCUUUGCUCAGAAACUUGUUCGGGAAAUAGAAAUUAAGAAAUUGAUUUCUGGCAACCUUAAAGUUGGAAAUUUUUUAGGAAAUUAGAUCAUUUAAUCCAGAGAAAAAUCAUAGACAAGAAAAAGAUAAAUAUGAAUUCGUUGAGUUGAUAGGGAUAACUGAAGAAAAUAAUGCAUGAUUUACUUUCUUUUGCUCUCUCGAGGCACCAUGGAGCUUCUUUUUCUUCUUCUUCUUUAACUGAAGAAAAUAAUGCAUGAUUUACUUUCUUUUGCUCUCUCGAGGCACCAUGGAGCUUCUUUUUCUUCUUCUUCUUUAACUGAAGAAAAUAAUGCAUGAUUCACUUUCUUUUGCUCUCUCGAGGCACCAUGGAGCUUCUUCUUCUUCUUCAAAUGAUAUUGAAAAUUCUACAAAAAUCCGAAAUAGGAGGAUGAGACCGAUUUGCAGGGAGGGUAGGGGGGAAUUAAAAGUAUUAUGCGAAACUUGGUGACCAAGGAGGUCUUAUCCUUAGUCAAAAAGGAGAUAAAGAAGGAAGAACGUGAAGGAGGGGUUGGAAAAUGACCGUGCGCUUGACGUGUCCGCGCCGUUGGUCACGAGGACUUGUUGUUGCUAGUCAAGAUUAAGGUGAUUGUCGUACAAAAAGCAAGGGGGGAUUCCAUGUCGGUGUUUCUUUUUCUUGGAAAAUUGGUGUUUGAUCUCAUCCUUUUGGUAUUCACACUCUUUUCGUCAAGCUCCUAGACAGGAACAAGGACAAAAGGCAACAUGAAAUUGGAGACCAAACUAAAUUUUGAAGAAGUGAGGAGGAGAUCGAUAACUCAUAGAAUUUGCAAUUAAGGUUUCCCUUUUAUCUAUUUUGUGAAAAGCAAAUAAUUCAAAAAAAAUUAUGAGAACAAGAAAUAUUUUCAUCGCCCACAAAUAAAAUUAGAUAUGAAUAAUUAUCGAUAAUUAAAACAUAUUUUAUUAGCUGAUUAUUUGGAGUGCUCAAUUUUAGGAACGUGUUUUUUGAAUCAUUCAUUUUUCACAAAUAAAAGAAUCUUAUAGACAUCUAAAGACAAAUCAUAUUCAUCUCAUCCUAGCAUAACUUGUAAGCACUUUGGGUGUAUUUGUUUUUGGAAAAAUUUCGUGAUAAAUGAAAAUGUUUUUCAAAAAAUCAUUGUUUACGAAAUUUUUUUACCUUUUCAGAUUAGAGAAUUUAUUUCCUAACUUUGAGCACAUGUUUUAUUAUUAUUAUUAUUAUUAUUAUUAUUAUUAUUAUUAUUAUUAUUAUUAUUAUUAUUAUUAUUAUUAUUAUUAUUAUUAUUAUUAUUAUUGUAAAUGGUUUUCGAUCAACUAAUCAUUUUUAACAAAUUAAAUGCGUGAAAGUUUAAAAAAUUAAUUUGUAAGAAAAUUUAAACAUAUACUCAUUGAUGUCCUUUCCUGAUGGAGCUCUGCACAACUAGCUGCGUUGCCUAUUUCUCCAAUUCAGUGGCGACCAAUCAUUGGGGUUUGCCCAGUGGCUACCCUUUUAACAUGGAAUGAGGAGACGGGGGGUUCAAAUCCCUAUCUUCUCAGGAGUUGGGGUGGGGACGAUUUAGUUUUAGGAGUGGGUUUCGACUCCCAUACUUUGCAAUGAGGCAGAGUAAAAGUCUGAGAGUGAGAGUUAGAAUAGAGAUAGAGUUGGAUUGACAAAAAAAAUGAAAUUUAGUGUCGACCCAUUAAUAUUUUAAUAUGCAUUAGCACGAGAUUUUCACCAAUUAAUAUACAACUCCCUGAAAAGAAAUAUUACUUUCUACAAAAGACAUAUUGGCCCUAAUCCCAAACAUCAAUUCAUUAUGGGGGCAUUCGUAUGGUGUUGAAGAACGAAUCUCCGGAUCGCAAUUUAUCGUAAAUAUUUAUUAUUCUUUCAUAAUUUUUACACAAGAUAUUGAAACACGCCAAAAAUUUAAAAGGGUUAAGGAUCGAUGGUGAAAAUCACUCCUCUCUAUCCUAUGGCCAUCAUUGGAUUUGCUUCCCAAGAAUCUUUUGAAACCUCUUUCAUUAUAAACCGAAAUCCGUAUGCCUAACUAGCAUUUGGAACAAAUUUCCAAUAAUAACUUUAGUCGCAAAAAAAAACAUUCUAACUAGAGAUGAGCAUAGUCCAAAUAGCCAAUUCCUACGUUGGAAUCAGAAACUAUCCACUAAAGACCGAUUUUGAAAAACUUGGAACAAGGAACCGCUCGUUGAUUCCAUAGAUCCACCCAAGAAUUGAUUCUCAAUCCCUACAAAGUUGCAUUUAUUAAUUUAUAUCAUGACAAACCUAGUUUCUAUUUAGAGCACCAAACCUUAUUCGGCCUUAAAUUCAGGUUGAAUUGUGAGCUAUUGAUUUUGAGUAGGGAUUGGGAAAUAUAGAGCAGAACCAAUAGACAAUACUCGUUAAGUAGGAACUCAAUGUCGUUAAAGGUCAUGAUGUGGUCUUCUUAGGGUUUUCUGACAUCAAGAACAUGUGGAGAAUUAGACUCUACGUUAGAAGUCCUAACCUCCAAAGAAAUUAAAAAAUUAAUCACUUGAUCCAUUUUUUUUUCAACAUCAACUAAUUUAAUCAAGGAAAUGGCUAAUGAGAGACCUAAUUAUUGAAUUUCAUAUUAUGACAAUAAAGCACCGCAACAUUUAUGGACAUCUCCAACCGAUUCUCUCCUUUCUCUUCAUUUGUCUAUUUUGUUUUGGCUAAGAAAGUAUGUAAAUAGAUUAUUAGAAUGAAAAAAAGAAGUAAGAGAUUAAUCCUAUUACACACUCAAAAGAUAAAAUUAGUCAAUAAUAUCCAACAAAUAUAUAUUGGUUAAAAAAAGUAGAAAAUAAUUAAGUAAUUGAGAUAUAAUUUCCUUUUUUUUUAAUAUAUAUACGUACUGGUCUAAUCCAAGUAGGCGAUUCCACGCAUGUAAUCGAGAACCAAAUCAAUACUCACUUGUUUUAUUAAAUUGGAACCAGGAGCCAGACUAGUUCCCACGGGAACUACCGGUUUUGUGCUAGUCUAGUCUAGUUUCAUGCAAUUCCCAAGUCUUUUGAUCCAUCUGUUUUCAACAUCAACUAAUUUAAUUAUACUCUUAAAAUGAGUCAUUGGCUCUUAAUUUUGUAUCAUGACAACGAAGUGCCACAAUAUUUAUGAACAUCUUGAAUAGGUCCUCUCCUUCUUCUUUGUUUGUUUGUUUUGUUUUUGCUAAGAAAGCAAGUAAAUAGAUUAUUAGAAUGAAAAAAAAUGGGGUACAUACUCGAGAGACUUGGUAAAAAAAACUACAAAAUAAUUAAAUAAUGAAAAUAAUUAUAAAAAAUUAAAUAUACUUGUCAAGUUCAAGUAGGAAUUGGAUUAGUACUCACUGAUUUCAUUAGGUUGAAACCAGGACCUGGACCAGUCCUCAUGGGAAUUGCUAGUUUUGUACUAGUCUGGCUUGUUUUUGUGCCGUUUAGAUGAUUUCCGAUUUCUUAACACACCUCUAAUUGUGACUUUUAUAAAGUAUAUUGUAAAUACCUCACACUUAUGGCUACUUUAAAAUUUCAGCAGCCUUUGAUGACUUUCUAGGAAGCCACCGCAGCCAACAUUGAAGUGCUACAAUUUAUAAAAUAUGCAUUUCAUAACCACAAAAAGCCACGUCAUCUUAUACAUUUUUACCAAACUGGCUCUACUAAUUUUGAAAGGGGAAGACCAAGAACAGAGAGUCAACGUCAAGUCUUCGGGCAUUAAUCAUCGCCGACAAUACCUAAUCCACGGCAGGUGGUCCUGGUAAAGCAGACUAGAAAAACUCACUUUUUGCACGGAUAUUGUGAAAAAGCAGAAUAUAACACGUGUUUUUCUUUUUUAUCUUUUGUAUAAUUUAUUUUCGAUUUGCUUUUAAUCCGACUUUUAUAUGGAUAUUGUUAUGAAAUACAUGAAUGGAUAGAAUGCAUGAAUGAAUAUUCAUUAUAUUCAUCUUAUCCAAUGUAUUUAUUAUGGUACAUUUGUAUCAAAUGUUCUAAGUACAUCUCCCUAUACAAUGAACGUUCGUCUCCCUUAUCAUGUACAUGUAUCAUUCGAUACAUUGAUAUUAAUGAUAAGUACAUUCUUGUUCUCCUAUAAAUAGGAGUUUAGUUUUGAUGUACAAUAUACAAUCACACAGAAACACGACAGUGAGAUACUAGAAAUAAAGCUCUCUCAUCUUGCUACUAUCUCUAGUGUUCACUUUCUUUCUCUUCUUUAAUCUCUUCUCUAUUAUAUAUUCGCCACGUGAUAUUUUACAACACGUUAUCAGCACGAGGAUCUACCGAUUGAGUAAGUAACUUUUGCAAGAACGAAGAUCUACCGAUUCAGUAAGUAAAUUUUGCAAGGUGCGUAUUAUUUUUAUUAAUCAACUUAUACUUCAUUUUCUUCUAUCAAUUCUUCAUUUUUAUUUUUCUUGGCCCGAAGCCAAAAUUCAAAUCUAAAAGUAUCCUUCUGCUCCUGAAGUAGCGGUGGAUAUUUGGAAAUCCUUUUAAUUAAUUUAAGGAUUUAUUUUUGCAAGGAUUAUGACAAAUAUUGAAAAGCCCAAAUUCCACAUCCUGGAAGUGAGUGGAAAGAAUUAUCUAUCCUGGUGCCUUGACAUGGAAAUGCACCUCCAAGGGCAAGGUCUCGCUAAUACAAUUACAGAGGAUGGAACCUCAAAUGAAAAGGAUAAAGCAAAUGCGCUGAUUUUUAUUCGCCGUCAUUUGCAUGAGAGCCUGCAGACUCAAUAUUUAUCCGUUCGAGACCCGCAUAUCUUGUGGAGGAGGUUGAAUGAUAGGUAUGAUCAUACAAAAACUGUUAUCCUCCCUCAAGCACAAUAUGAUUGGCAAAAUCUCAGAUUGCAAGAUUUUAAAUCAGUGUCUGACUAUAAUUCUGCUUUAUUUGAUAUCGUUUCUCGGCUAGAGUUAUGCGGUAUCAAACUCACUGAUGCAGAAUUGCUUGAGAAAACUUUUUCCACCUUUCAUGCUUCAAAUAUUGUAUUGCAACAGCAAUACCGGCAACGUCAAUUUGCCACAUUCUGAAUUAAUUUCUGUGCUUCUUACUGCCGAGCAAACUAAUGAAUUACUGCUCAAAAAUCAUGAUCUUAAACCUGCUGGCUCAAAAGCAUUGCCUGAAGCACAUGCUAACUUUGAGAAAAAUACUAGCCAUUUUAAGGGCUAUAAGCGCAGGCAAGAACAUAAUCCUAGAAGGGAUGGCAAGAAAUUUAACCGCCCUAGGAAAUCAAACUUUGGCCUGAAUCAUGGCAAAGAAAAGAAGCAAAAGAAGGUGAUUAAUGAAAGUAUUUGUCAUCGCUGUGGCAUGACCGGGCACUAGUCACGUACCUGUCGUAAGCCAAAACAUUUUGUUGACCUAUACCAGGCAUCUUUAAAGAAUACGGGCAAGCGUGGUGAAUCUCAUGCCAUUGAAAUCAAUCCUACUGCCAUAACCACUGUUGAGGCCAACAAUAUCUCCGUUGAUGGGACUCCUCUUGCUCCUAAAGUAGCAAAUGCAUCAUUGGAUGUCUCUGAUUUCUUUGAGGACCUCUGAUUACUUUGAUGAAUCAUAUUGGUGGAUAAUAAUUUGAACUUUGAAAUUUAUGUUGUUUCACUUUAAAUGUAUUACUUUUUUUUAUUGUUCUUUAUGAAAUACUUAUGAACCUUAUAUAAUAUUUAUCUUUGAAAUUUUAUUCAACUAUAUAACUAAAAUGCAACUUUUAUGAUACUUGACACCUGAAGUUGUCAAUAUAAAUGCAAAUGGAAAAUACCGAGAAAAAGGAAGAUGUUUGUUUGCUUGAUAGAGCAACAACACAUACUAUAUUUUGUAGUAGACACUUUUUCUCGAGUAUGACAUUACGUAAGGCACAAAUCCAUACAAUAUCAGGUUCUGUUCCGAUUAUUGAUGGUUUUGGGAAUGCUGCAAUUAUUUUGCCAAAUGGCACAAUCCUGCAUAUUGAGAAUGCGUUUCUAAGCAUUCGAUCAAAAAGGAAUUUGCUCAAUUUCAAAGAUGUACGCCGUAAUUGGUACCAUAUUGAGACUAUUUAUGAGCAAGAUAAGAAAUAUAUUGUCAUUUCCUCUUAUAAGAUGGGCCUGAAGACCAUCCAUGAGAAGCUAGAAGCUUCUUCUAUGGGUUUGUAUUGUGUCAUGAUUAAAGCUGUUGAAACCUACGCUACCAUAUCCUGGAGAUUGGUAAGCCCUGAUUAGUUUGGACUAUGGCAUGAUCACCUUGGUCAUCCUGGCGCUUCAAUGAUGCGUAGGAUAAUUUAAAAUACAAAAGGGCACCCUUUAAAGGAUAUAAAGGUAUUGUUGUCCAAAGAUUAUAAUUGUGAGGCUUACUCACAAGGAAAGCUCAUUAUCAAACCUUCUAUAACAAAGGUUAAUUUUGAAUCUCCUUUAUUAUUGCAAAGAAUUCAGGGUGAUAUUUGUGGACCAAUACAACCACCAAGUGGACCAUUUUGAUAUUUUAUGGUAUUAGUGGACGCAUCCUGUAGAUGGUCCCAUGUUUGCCUAUUAUCUACGCGCAAUGUCGCAUUUGCACGUUUACUUGCGCAGAUUAUAAAGCUCCGGGCACAAUUCAUUGAUUAUCCAAUUAAGAGCAUAAGGAUGGAUAAUGCUGGUGAAUUUACAUCAAAGAGUUUUGAUACAUAUUGUGCUUCACUCGGAAUCGAGGUUGAGCACCCGGUUGCAUAUGUUCAUACUCAAAAUGGAUUGGCAGAAUCCUUGAUUAAACGUAUCCAAAUCAUUGCCCGCACUCUAUUAUUGAGAACGAAUCUCAACGAUACUGCAUGGGGUCAUGCAAUUUUGCAUGCGGCAGCUCUAAUAAGAUUACGCCCCACUGCUAGUAUUUUACAAUCUCCCCUUCAAAUGGUUCUUGGUUAUGAACCAGAUAUUUCACAUCUACGCACCUUUGGUUGUGCAGUACAGGUGCCUGUAGCACCGCCAAAAAGGACGAAAAUGGGUCCCCAACGCCGUUUGGGCAUUUAUGUUGGGUUUAAUUCACCAUCUAUCAUUAGGUUCUUGGAACCAACUACUGGUGAUCUUUUUACUGCCAAGUUUGCAGAUUGUCAUUUCGAUGAGACUAGGUUUCCAUCAAUUGGGAUACCUACAACUUCCAUGACUGCAAAACAAAAACCAGUUAAGGUUUUUUCCUGGAAUGAGAAAAAUUUAUCUCAAUUAGACCCAAGGACUCCUGAAUGUGAAAACGAGAUGCAGCGCAUAAUCCAUUUAUAGGCUAUGGCCAAUAGACUUCCUGACGCAUUUAAUGAUGCUAUUAAGGUAACGAAGUCUCAUAUUCCAGCUGCAAAUGCUCCAGCUAGGAUAGCUGUUCCCGAAGAACAGGCUAAAAUGGAUCAAAAUCCCCUGCACUUGAAGCGUGGUAGACCGAUAGGAUCAAAAGAUACUGCUCCUCGAAAACGAAGGGGAAAGAAUCAGGAAUCCGCUCCAAAAGAGCUUGGCGUUGUGCUUGCUCCCAAAGAGCUUAUUGCCCCUGAAGAGGCACAAACCCAUGAAAGAAGCACUAGCCCCGGGAAUACUGAGAAUUCCAUUACAUAUUGUAAUGAAAUUUGGGAUCGAAAUGAAAUCAUCAUUGAUGAUGCUUUUGCAUUCUCAGUUGCUCAUCAAAUUAUGGAUGAUGAUUGUGAACCACAAUCUAUUAUUGAAUGUCGUCAAAGGCAAGAUUGGCAUAAGUGGGAGGAAGCAAUUAAAGCUGAAUUAGCUUCCCUAACUAAACGAGAGGUUUUUGGACCUGUAACUCGUAUCCCUGAUAAUGUAAAGCCCGUUGGAUAUAAAUGGGUAUUUAUCCGAAAACGAAAUGAGAAAAACGAGGUUGUCAGGUAUAAAGCCCAACUCGUUGCCCAAGGAUUCUCCCAGAGACCUGGGAUUGAUUAUAAUGAGACAUAUUCACCUGUGAUGGAUAUGAUUACAUUUCGUUUUCUCAUUAGCCUAGCAAUCUUUGAAAGAUUGGAAAUGCGUCUUAUGGACGUUGUGACGGCAUAUCUAUAUGGCUCAUUAGACUUUGAUAUUUAUAUGAAAAUUCCUAAGGGAUUCAAAAUGCCUGAAGCAUGCACUCCCCGCAAUUUAUUUUCAAUAAAAUUGCAAAGAUCCUUGUACGGGUUAAAGCAAUCCGGUCGCAUGUGGUAUCAACGCCUAAGUGAGUACCUAAUUAAGGAAAUGUACAAAAAUGAUCAUAUCUGCCCAUGCGUGUUUAUUAAGAAAUCAGAAACUGGGUUUGCUAUUAUAGCAGUUUAUGUCGAUGAUACAAAUUUAAUUGGAACUCUAGAAGAGUUAGCUGAAACUGCUGAAUAUUUGAAAAGGGAGUUUGAAGUUAAAGAUUUGGGUAAAACCAAACUUUGUCUUGGUCUAGAGCUUGAGCAUAAAGCAAAUGGAAUAAUCGUCCAUCAAUCAGCAUAUGUUGAAAGAUUGCUUAAACGUUUCAACAUGGACAAAGCUCACCCAUUGAGCACCCCUAUGGUUGUAAGGUCUCUAGAUCCCCAAAAGGACCCAUUUCGUCCUAAAGAAUCUGAUGAAGAGAUACUUGGUCCUGAAGUACCAUAUCUCAAUGCAAUUGGGGCUUUGAUGUACUUGGCACAAUGUACGAGACUAGAUAUCGCUUUUGCGGUAAAUUUAUUGGCACGUUUUAGUUCUGAGCCAACUCGGAGACAUUGGAAUGGAGUUAAACAUAUUUUCCGUUAUCUCCGAGGAACCAUAGAUUUGGGAUUAUAUUAUUCCAAGGAUUCCACUAACUCUGGUUUAGUUAGAUAUGCUGAUGCUAGAUAUAGAUCCGAUCCACAUAAGGCUCGCUCUCAAACCGGGUAUUUAUUUUGUUAUAACGUCACCGCUAUUUCUUGGCGUUCUACGAAGCAAUCGCUAGUAGCUACAUCUUCUAACCACUCUGAGAUUAUUGCUUUAUAUGAAGCUGGAAGAGAGUGUGUUUGGUUAAGAUCCGUUAUAACACAUAUUCAUAAUUCUUGUUGCUUAAUACCGGUUACAAAUUCUCCCACUAUAAUUUAUGAAGAUAAUGCUGCUUGUGUUGCACAAGUCAGGGGAGGAUAUAUCAAAGGUGAUAGGACCAAGCAUAUCUCGCCGAAAUUUUUCUAUACUCAUGAACUCCAAGAAAGUCGACAAAUUGAUGUUAAACAGAUUCGAUCCAUAAAUAAUCUUGCAGAUCUUUUUAACAAAUCAUUGCCAACAUCAAGUUUUGAGAAAUUAGUAUAUGGCAUUGGUAUGAGGCGAGUUCAUAAGAUGUAAGAUUGAUUAGCCCCAGAAAUGGCUAUAUGGCUCAAUUGAGGGGGAGAUAUUAUGAAUUAUACAUUGCAGCAUUGAUAUGUGCUAGUUCACAAGAUGCAAUAAUGAUUAGCCCCAGGAGUGGCUAUAUAUGCAUUGCACUCUUUUUUCUUUAUGUCCGGUUUUUUCCCAUAGGGUUUUUCCAGCUUAAAGUUUUUAACGAGACAAUUAAUGCAUCCAUAAAAGGGAGAGAUCAUAACAUUUGUGCUCUGCACUCUUUUUCCCUUUUUGUCCGAUUUUUAUCCCACUGGGUUUUUCCGGCUUAAGGUUUUUAAUGAGGCAGUAUCAUUCAAUGCACAUUCGUAAUGAAUAUGAUGAAUAUUCAAGGGGGACUGUUAUGAAAUACAUGAAUUGAUAGAAUACAUGAAUGAAUAUUCAUUAUAUUCAUCUUAUUCAAUGUACUUAUUAUGGUACAUUUGUAUCAAAUGUUCUAAGUACAUCUCCCUAUACAAUGAACGUUCGUCUCCCUUAUCUUGUACAUGUAUCAUUCGAUACAUUGAUAUUAAUGAUAAGUACAUUCUUGUUCUCCUAUAAAUAGGAGUUUAGUUUUGAUGUACAAUAUACAAUCACAUAGAAACACGACAGUGAGAUACUAGAAAUAAAGCUCUCUCAUCUUGCUACUAUCUCUAGUGUUCACUUGCUUUCUCUUUUUUAAUCUCUUCUCUAUUAUAUAUUUGCCACGCGAUAUUUUACAACAGAUAUUUCCUUUUUACUUUCUCUUGUUCGUUAAAUUUUUGCAUCGAGUACAUAAAUACUGAUGUAUACCUGUAUUUUUCAAUCUUUUUUUCAUUUCAAAUUCUUCUCAUUUACCUUGCUUGAAAUUUUUUUUGCAACUUUACAGUGACUUUCUAAAUUUAUAUAUGUUAAUAUUUUUAUUUAGACUCUUUUAUAUUGUUGCAUCGAUUUCACUGGGAAAUUAUUUUGGUUAUGUCCUUACUUUUGUUAUCAAUGUAAGUAUAGUGUUAAUAAGGCUAUGAAAUUUUAGCAAAAUAAAAAGGUAAAGUGAAAGUUUAUAGAACCAUGGAGUUAUGAUUUUAAAAGGAGAAACAAUAAAUGCAAUUGGAUUUGUUUUGAAUAUUGAUUAUAGUAAAAAAUUUUGUGCUUCAAGUGGUAUUGAAUAAGAUUUGCCACACUCAACUUGAACUAUGGCCAAGUGAGAAACUUGAACCAGAUAAAGAAGCUUAGUAUCCCCAAAACUUUUUUUUUUUUUUAUCAGAGCAAUACAAGUAUUUUUUUCAAGGAGAAAUAUUAUACAAAUCAUUUAUUUUUUACGAAAUAAACAUAGUUUAAUUAGACUUAAAAAAUCAUAAUCAUCUUAUCCUAGGAUAAUUUCUUCUCUAUUAUAACACUAUGACCUUAAAAAUAAAAAUACAACUAUAAUAGUUCAAUAUCAAUGGACAUCCAUCCACAUCAUGCUCUCCAAAAGAGUGAUAUGAAUACUAAAUAAUAACGAUUUGAAUACUAAAUAAUAGAUAUUUUGAUAACUUGAAAAGGUUGAUAUGAAUGUCAUCCUAUUCCGUAAUAUAUCUUAUUAGUUCUACAAUUAUUCUACUUUUGCACGUUAAAUUGUAUUUUGGAUUCUUAUUAAAAAUUAUUCAAAUUGCACUUUUCCUUCCGUGUUAAUUUUUAUUUUUUCAUUUUUUUACAUAUUAGUUGGUGGCCUUUUUGUUAAUAGACAAAAGCCCAUCAAUAUCCUUUCCUGAUGUAACUCUGCCCAACUAGCUUGCUGCGUUGCCAAUUUUCCAAUUGAAGCGAUCCUUUGAUAUUUUAAUAUGCAUUAGCUUGAUAUUUUCACCAAUUAAUAUACAAAUCCUGAAAAAUAAAAUUUUAAUAGACAAAAAGCCCAUCAAUAUCCUUUCCUGAUGUAACUCUGCCCAACUAGCUUGCUGCGUUGCCAAUUUUCCAAUUGAAGCGAUCCUUUGAUAUUUUAAUAUGCAUUAGCUUGAUAUUUUCACCAAUUAAUAUAAAAAUCCUGAAAAUAAAAUUUUAUUUUCUAGAAAAAGACAAGUUGGACCUAAAUCAAUAAAGAAAAAGAUAUUAUUAUAAAUGUCAAUUCAUUUUUGGGCACUUGUAUGGUUUCGAAGGAUGAAACUCCAGAUUGCAAUUUAUUGAAAUUAUUUUUUCCAUUAUUUUUAUUUAAAAUAUUGUAACACAAAAAAAAUUAAAAUGGUUUGUGAUUAAUGGCGAGAUUUACUCUCUUUUCUCUCCAACCCCAUGAAAAAUUAGGGAUAUGCUUUCGAAGAAUCUUUAGAAACCCCUUGUUACAAUCCAAAAUGCAUAUGCCUAUUAUCCUUUUGAACAGUUUUGCUAUAGUAAUUUCAGCUGUUGAAAGGAGCAUUGCGACUUUUGUAAAUUUUUUGGUCAACACCUCACAGCUACAGCUAUGACUACUUUAAAAUUUCAGCAGCUUAUAAUAACUUUAUAGAAAUUAGGAAGCUACUACAAUUUAUAAAAUAUGCAUUUCAUAAACAAAAAAGCCACCUCAUUUUAUAACACACCAUAACUACGUUUGUACCUAUCUGGCUCUACUAAUUUUGAAAGAGAAAGCGCAAAAACAGAGAGUCAACAUCUAGUCUUCGGGUAUUAAUUAUUCCUGACUGGGCCUGGACCACGGAUUGCAAAAUGAAGCUGGCUCAUCGCAGUUUUGCGCGUCGGAUAAACAAGCUAGCAGAUUGGGUGGUAAAAGCCCCACGUCCAGAAUUGGCUAUUUCAUCCCCGGAACUUAUGUUGGAUAAUUAUAUCGGGUAAAAGUCACCUAUAACACAUUUAUUCUGAGCUUUUCUUUGUAACAAAAAAGGCUCCAAACUAAACUAAUGUGACGCAUUUACUCCAAACUUAUACAGUGUGACAUCUUUAUUUCAAAUUUAUUUUUUGUGACAGCAAAAAUCUCAAGCCUUUACUUGUGUGACGAAUUUAUCCAAAAAAUUUGGUGUCUCAGAAAAAAGUUCGGGAUUUUUGGCUUCAAAAAAAAAGUUUGGAGUAAAUAUGAUGCAUGAGUAAAAGUUUGGGAUUUUUUGUAUCACAGAAAAAAAAAUUGAGGUAAAUGUGUCACAGUGGGCAAAGUUUUGAGUUUUUGGCGUCAUAAAAAAUAAUUUAGAUUAAAUGUGUCAUUAUAAGCAAAGUUUGGGAUUUUUUGUAGUUUUUUCCCUUAUAUUUUCACAAACCUAGCUUAAGUUGAUAAAAUUUCUGUUUUUUAGACAAAAAUAUUUUUUGUUGCAGACUAGGAAAACCAACUCUUUGCUCAGGCAUUGAGAAAAAAACAGAAUAAAAUUAUUGUCCUUUUCUUGCAUCGUGCUUUUAUUAUUGUUCUCUUGUUCCUUAAAUUUAAGAGAAGAUAGCAUAAAUGAUCCACAAAUUUUUGUCUCGAUCUGCAAUGUUGUCCUUAAACUUUUAAUUUAUUCAAUAUAAUUCUCGAAUUGUUGGUAAGUAUUCAAUGCCGUCUUUAGGCUUGCUCAAAAGGCAAACCAAAUGUUAUUUUGAUGACGUAGAUUACUAUAUGUUGAGUUGAAUUUUUAGAAAUGAUGAUUCAAUCUAUCUAUCAUUUUACCCAUCUACUUUAAACAAGGAAAAAAUUUAAGCAUUAACACGUCCAUUGUUAUUUGAUGAUAUGGAUUAUUUUAUCCGAAUUAAGAUGAAUAUCUUAUGUGGAUAAUUCAUAAAUAACUUUUUUUUUUGCCCACCAUUCAAACCUAAAAGAUUGGAAGCUACAUCACUAUUCUAGGAAUUAGAUUGAAUACAUGUAGAUAGUUCAAGGAUCAUAUUGUAUAUUGAAACAAAAUUCAUAAACUAUUUAUGUCAUUUUUCUUUGAAUUUUUUAAUCAAGUGCAUAAAUAUUGCAAUGCACCUAUGUUUUUCAAUUUUUUUUUUCAUUUAAAUGAGUUUUAUUUGGAGAGAGUCCCGACAGGGCUCUCUGCUUCAUUUAUAAACACAGACAGGAUAUAAUAAAGUCAGCGGGGCACUUCCAAAAAGCUUCCAUUAGACCUUGAUUUUACUCAAAUUAUCUAAUAAAUGUUUUUGGAGGUAGAACUCACUGAUUUGUCAAACCCAUUAUGACUAAUCCCCGCCAUAUCUCAUUAAACAACAGUUUAGAUUAAAUAAAAUACAAGCUAGAAAUGAAAUAGUAUUUCUUUAUACUUCGGUUAAAAUAUUUUUACAACUUUGCCAUGAAUUUCCAAAUUUAGAUGGAUUGAUUUUUUCUAUUUAAAUUUUUUUAUAUCAUUGUAUUGACCCCAUUGACAAAAUGUUCUGGCUCUGUAUUUGCUUAAAAUCAAUAUAGAUAUACUGUUGAUAGGGUCAUAAGAUUUUAUCACAAUUAAAAGGUACAAGCUUACGCAAUCAUGACUGAGUAUUAAAAUUGUGAUGGAAUCAUGUUUUUAAAUGGAGAAACGAUAAAUGUAAAUUACAUAUUGUAUGUUGAUUUUAGCAAGAAAUUUUGUGCUUCAAGUAAUAUAAAAUAAAAUUUGCACUCUACUUGAACUAGGUACAUGGCCAAGUAAAAAACUUGAGCCAGAGAGAGAAGUUCAGUAUCUCCAUAGCUUCAUUUUCUUGAUCGAAAGUUUUGUGAACUAUGAUUCAGCUACAAUAAAUCACAUGUGACCCCAAACAUUUCUUGACAUUCAAAACUCGAUUAAAUCUAUUAGAGUUAGGUCUCUUCUCGUAUCACAAUUAAUACCGACAUCCUUUCAUCCUUGCUAGAAAAAGAGUUCAACCAAAAAAGGAAGUGUGGAAAUGUGGAAAUUGAAAGCUUAUGGCGUUGUUGAAUUUAUUGAGUUCCUUGCUAGAGAAGGAAAGAACAUUCCACGUGGAAUGAAUCGAUUCUAUCCUCAAAUUCAACCUUUUCAACGAAGUGGAAGAUAAACGAACAUCAAUUCUCGUGUUCUUGACAUUAAAUUUUAGUUUGAUAUAUGGGGAAAACAGUCAAAUUAAUCCAUCUUCUUUGCCCAAGAACUAGACAUAUUGCCAACAGAUGCUCUUUCAUAAACGUGAGCUGCAAUUGGGCCUACAAAAGUUAACAGUUCUUGCAAACCAGGCUGCUUUAUAAUCACCAAGGAUCAGCAAGGAAUGAACUUCUUUUGCAGCGCCUUCUCCGUCUUGUCUUUUUACGAUCGUUCUUCCUUAAGACGACUAGCGACACUUUUCAUUGUCACAAAUUAUAUCAACCGAUCCGGAUCUAGAGUUACCAUCUAAUGAUAUAACAGAGGACCCGUUACCAUAACGCUGAACUGCACAAGAACUAACCACUAGGACCUUAGGACUGAUCAAAGACUAUUCGAUUGCAUCGAUUAAACAUGUCCUAUUAAGUCCGGUGUACAUGCAACAUCUUGAAGCUGCAUCUUCUAAAGGAGAGACGGAUGUGCAUGUACGACAACUGCCGAUCAAAGACUAUUCGAUCCCACUGCUCUAUUUAGCGCGCGGCUUGUCGACAAUAAACAUUUUAUUAAUAUGGCAAACUGUCGAAGUCAUAACGCACAUCACAUUACUCACAUACAAACCCCUCGUAGAUCAAGCUCGGAAACAUUCACUCAGAAAAAAAAAGAGGAGAACGGCUUCAAACGAGUCAUAGAUAACGAGACUACUAUAAAGCAACUUUCAGGCUCUACGACAGACAUCACCAUCACAGACCCAUCCUUCUUUGGCAUCUCCUUCUUUCUUUGCCUCCUCCUCAGCUGCUUCAUUGUCUUCAUCUAACUCGUUUUCAGUUGCUUUCUCUUCUUUAACAGCACAUUUUGGGUGGAGAUCAAAGUCACACUCCUCGCAAUAAUAUGACCACCCCUCCCCCUCUUCAUCGCAGCCAUCACAAGUGUACCGUCUCCUCUGAGCCGGAACGAGCUCGUGCUCUUCAUGCAAAGGUUGCUUCAACUUCUCUGGCCAGCCUUUUAUACUUUCCUUGAACUUUUCCUCAAACUUCUUGAGAUGUUCGGCAGUAAAAGGAUAAGCAUCAGCCCCGUGGUCCAUUAUAAGAUCCCUUGCUUUGUUAGUCACCGUCCGGCCCGUUGGACCUAUGGCUACAAGCAUGGGGAUGCCCCGGACCUUGAAUUUGCGACUCAGGGAUUUCUUCCUCUCGUCACCAAAAGGGAGCGCCAGCCACGGCAUCUGAGCAAAAUAAUUAUCAAAGGCAGUUUGGUCCUUGUCACUGGAGAUGAAGAUAACCUCCAAGGCAUUGCCGGCGGCCUUGAUCUUUUCGUAUGCCUCAGUAAGCACCGGCAGGAAUGCACGGCAAGGAGGGCACCAGUGUGCCGAGAAGUACAGGAGGACAGUCUUCCCUACCAAGUCUGGUACUGGAAUCUGCAAUCGAAGUUAAGGAACAACCUUUUAGAUGAACCACCAAUUGAUGGAGAAGGCACGUGAAAACUACAUCUAUGUAAAGGAUUUUCCUAGCUAUAAACCUGGUUUCAAUCCUUUCCUCGAGUCAAGUAACCCGAGGGACAACUGUAUAUGGGGCCCCAGUGUAGACAUCAAAAAUUUCCCCAGUCAUUAGCUUCUAGGGAAAAAACAAAUUUACCUUGGUUCCAUCCUUUCCAAUGACAAAAUCCAGAUCCCCUGAAACCAAGAUCGACUCCAAGGUCUGAGAUUCUUCCCUUUUCUUCUCUAUCUCUGCAAGCUCUGCAAACUUUUCUGGAGUGAAGGGAUAAGCUGUGAUGCCAUGCUCUUCGACAGUUUCGGCAACGUUGGCAUGGACAGUCUUCCCAUCCUGACCGAUAAUGACCAGAGUGGGUAGGGUCGACAGCUUAAAGUACCUCACCAACUUCUCGCAUUUCUUGUCUUUGAAUGGUAAUGAAAGCCAUGGCAUGCUGCCAAAGGAUUGGUUGAAUGAUGCUUCAUCAUCAUCGAGAGGUAUCUGAACGAUCUCAAAACUCUCUCCUCUGGCCUUCAAUUUCUCAUAAACCUCCAGUAACUUAGGCGUGAAAUCGACGCAUGCCCUGUGCACGGACAACGAGAAGUACAGACCCACUGUUUUCNNNNNNNNNNNNNNNNNNNNNNNNNNNNNNNNNNNNNNNNNNNNNNNNNNNNNNNNNNNNNNNNNNNNNNNNNNNNNNNNNNNNNNNNNNNNNNNNNNNNAAUCAUAGCACAUGCGACCAUGAGUUUCAAAUGCAUCGAGAUCUUUUUAGGUUUACCUGAUUCCGAUUGACGAAACUACGAAGUUACGAGAUCCAUGGACCAAAAGAGAGGUCACUGAUUGAUUUAUCCUAGUAGCUUCUUCCUGGUCUUUCAACUCUUUGAUACGUUCUGGAGUGAAAGGGUGACCUUCCACUCCAUACUCACGGACAAUCGCAACUCCGCUAUCUGUUAAGACCGUACCUGUGCCAUCGAGAAUGACAAGGUGGGGUAUCCCCCUCA
Molecule: long non-coding RNA, 39588 nt
Filed under: Eucalyptus grandis
Lineage: Eukaryota; Viridiplantae; Streptophyta; Magnoliopsida; Myrtales; Myrtaceae
Description: long non-coding RNA (EGRA_LNC004914)
Source: RNAcentral